RNAcentral lists this ribosomal RNA (555 nucleotides) under uncultured archaeon. RNAcentral describes it as "bacterial SSU rRNA". It matches the Rfam family "Archaeal small subunit ribosomal RNA", at positions 325 to 879 of the family's 1478-position model. The record is from RNAcentral.
ACGGGGAGCAGCAGGCGCGAAACCUUUACACUGCACGACAGUGCGAUAGGGGGAUCCCAAGUGCACAGGCAUAGCGCCUGUGCUUUUCGGUACCCUAAGGCGGCACCAGAAUAAGGGCUGGGCAAGACCGGUGCCAGCCGCCGCGGUAAUACCGGCAGCCCAAGUGAUGGCCGAUCUUAUUGGGCCUAAGGCGUCCGUAGCCGGCCGGACAAGUCCGUUGGGAAAUCCGCACGCUUAACGUGCGGGCGUCCAGCGGAAACUGUCCGGCUUGGGACCGGAAGACCCGUGGGGUACGUCCGGGGUAGGAGUGAAAUCCCGUAAUCCCGGACGGACCACCUGUGGCGAAAGCGUCUCAGGAGAACGGAUCCGACAGUGAGGGACGAAAGCUAGGGUCUCGAACCUGAUUAGAUACCCGGGUAGUCCAAGCCGUAAACGAUGUCUGCUAGGUGUGACACAGGCUACGAGUCUGUGCUGUGCCGUAGGGAAGCCGUGAAGUGGGCCGCCCGGGAAGUACGUCUGCAAGGAUGAAACUUAAAGGAAUUGGCGGGGGAGCAC